GAUGAAUAACGCAGCGAAAUGCGAUAAGUAAUGUGAAUUGCAGAAUUCAGUGAAUCAUCGAAUCUUUGAACGCACAUUGCGCCCUCUGGUAUUCCGGGGGGCAUGCCUGUUCGAGCGUCAUUAUAACCACUCAAGCUCUCGCUUGGUAUUGGGGUUCGCGGUUCCGCGGCCCCUAAAAUCAGUGGCGGUGCCUGUCGGCUCUACGCGUAGUAAUACUCCUCGCGUCUGGGUCCGGUAGGUCUACUUGCCAGCAACCCCCAAUUUUUACAGGUUGACCUCGGAUCAGGUAGGGAUACCCGCUGAACUUAAGCAUAUCAAUAAGCGGAGGA
RNAcentral lists this unclassified non-coding RNA (329 nucleotides) under soil metagenome. RNAcentral describes it as "partial contains 5.8S ribosomal RNA, internal transcribed spacer 2, and large subunit ribosomal RNA". The stretch from base 1 to 120 matches the Rfam family "5.8S ribosomal RNA", at positions 35 to 154 of the family's 154-position model. The record is from RNAcentral.